CACGGAGGAUCCGAGCGUUAUCCGGAUUUAUUGGGUUUAAAGGGAGCGUAGGUGGAUUGUUAAGUCAGUUGUGAAAGUUUGCGGCUCAACCGUAAAAUUGCAGUUGAAACUGGCAGUCUUGAGUACAGUAGAGGUGGGCGGAAUUCGUGGUGUAGCGGUGAAAUGCUUAGAUAUCACGAAGAACUCCGAUUGCGAAGGCAGCUCACUAGACUGCAACUGACACUGAUGCUCGAAAGUGUGGGUAUCAAACAGG
RNAcentral lists this ribosomal RNA (253 nucleotides) under uncultured bacterium. RNAcentral describes it as "partial 16S ribosomal RNA". It matches the Rfam family "Bacterial small subunit ribosomal RNA", at positions 524 to 776 of the family's 1533-position model. The record is from RNAcentral.